GCCCCGCUACGCUGCAGCUGGAGCGACCGCCCCGGCCGGCCCCGCAGACCUGGGAGGAGGAGGAGGAGGGGAAGCCGGGGAGGGAGGCGCAGAGAGGAGGGUUGGAGCCGGGAGGAGGAAAUAAAUAAAUAAAACAAUAACCUCCGCGCCAAUAAGAGCGAGGGAGAGAGCAAGACGAGACCAGAAAGCCACCGGGGCCCGCUCGCGCGCCUCUGAGAGGCUGUCCGCGCGCGCGCGUGUGUGCGUGAGUGUGGAUUUGCCGGGACUGGAGCUGGAAAGUUCAAACUAAACGUGUUGCUCUCGCCGGGUGCCGAGGCCGCGGCGGAGGCUGCCCAACUUCCCUGGGCCAAGUGAGUGGCGUUGCCCAGCGCCUUUGGCGAGGCGGCGGCCGCUCGGCCCUGCGCCCGGGCGCGGCGGCGGCGACGGCGGCUCCGCUCGCCCCGGGAGGGAGCCCGUGGCCAGGGCUGGACGCUCGCCCCGCCACCUCCACCGACUCUCUCUCUUCUCAGCCUCUGCGCCUGGCACCGCAGCAAGACUUGAAUGCAGUGCUCAUGUAAACUAGAGAAAGGAGAUUAAAAAUCACCUCUGGAUAUUCCUCUCACGUGAUCUUUAUUCUGGAUGAAGCAAUAGGACAGCUAAUAGACGUGUGUCACUGCAAUUUGCUGCUAGAAGUGUGUUUUCCAUUUAAAAGGCAACUUCAAGGAGUUGUGGGGAAUGUAGAUCUUUGCUGCACGGAGAUAACAGUAAGUGUUUAUAUAUAUGCAAUAACUUUUUAAAAACUACAACCUCUCAAUAUUUGGAACUUCACUAUUAUAUGCAUGAAAAAAAUUAAUAUGAUUACUUAAAUUGUAUAAUUUUGAUGAAAUUUAUUUACUGUAGUGAUAUUUCUCAUAGCAUUCUAAUAGAUUAAAGGAACGUCAUUUUAAUAAGAAAUAGCAACCCAUAGCCAAAACAUUCCAGUUUGUUCACUUUAUGCUACAUAAAUUUCACUUGUACAUUUACAUUGAUUUUCUCUUUGAAUAGCUGACUUACACAGAUUUCUCAGUUUUCUAUGGGGAACUAUUUCACAAUUGAUUUUCAGAUUUUGGAUUGGAAAUACUUAUUUUACGUAACAACUUCUUUAAUUUAUGCCACUCGAAUCUUUAAUAUUUCUGCAUGUUAAAUAGUUUUCAUACAAAUACAAGUCAAUAACUCAUAUUAAUUUCGUGAAAAGUGAGAAAGGGGCAUCUGUCUGCCGAUUAAACUGAUGUGAUAAAGUGAGGUGGAACAGCUUCUCGGUUUCUCUAAAAUGUGAUUUUCAUAAUCGUUUAAAUUUAUGUUUAUUUCAAACGUAAAACAUGGGUAACUUUUGUUUUACCUGCCAUCUCAGGUUAUCUUUGUCACUUCCUUUUCAUUAAUGUAAUUACUUGGGAAUAAUCUCUACUCCAAAUUGAAUAGGGAAAUAUCAUGCUGCAGGCUCUUUGCUCAUUUAGGAAUUAAAGCAAUUUAAGAUAUGAGGUUUAAAAUGGAAAAUCUCUUUGAAAGGAGAAGAUGUGAAUCAUUUACACAGAUACCUGUUUCACUGAAAUUUAUAGAGAGAAAACAAUGUGCUCUAAGUUGUGAAUUAUUGAUUUUUAAAAUAGUUCAGAUUUCUGGGAUCUUGUCUACUUGGGGUGCUGGUGAGUGUUCCAUCUGCGAUGCGCCCUGGCUUCUGCUCCCUACUAAUACCAUUUCCUGAGUGGCUUCUCCAUUCAACAAUUGAACUCUGGCAAUAUUCCUGCCCAGUGAUCUGUACCUUUACAUGGUAUCCCUGGGCCAUUACAAUAUCUUUCAUGAUUACAAUAAAUUAAAUUUUGUUAUUUUGUAGAAUAGACAAUGAAGAUUAUACUUACAAAAUACCUACAUGGCUCAUUCGGAGAUAUGCUGUCUUGUAAAGAAAUGACUUUCUAUUUUGGGGAUUCUAACUUUGCUAUUUGAUGAAUAUAGCUGGAAAUAAGGGCUUUGGUGGAUAAAUUAGUUUGAUUUUUAGACAGUGUUAACUGGCACUAGCUUUGUGAGAGCCUUAAACGGAAUGUAAAAUUAUUGGCAAAAUAACUCCAACUACUUCUCUGUCUUACUGUGAGUAGGGAAGAUAAGAAAGGGCAGAGAAAAUACCCUCAUAAACAAGAAGUGUGAAGAAAAUCAUCUCUUUUGUUUAAGAUUUAAUUGCCUUUUAAUUGUCUUAUCUCCUCAUUCCAUUUCUAUUAUUAUUAUUAUUAUUAUUAUUAUUAUUAUUGUACUUU
Chlorocebus sabaeus (green monkey) is the source of this 2261-nucleotide long non-coding RNA. RefSeq lists it as uncharacterized. NCBI's taxonomy places the organism in Eukaryota, Metazoa, Chordata, Mammalia, Primates, Cercopithecidae. The record is from RefSeq and is a predicted model, not a curated record.